UACGUAGGGUGCGAGCGUUAAUCGGAAUUACUGGGCGUAAAGCGUGCGCAGGCGGUUCGUCAAGUCUGAUGUGAAAGCCCCGGGCUCAACCUGGGAAUGGCAUUGGAAACUAGCGGGCUUGAGUGUGGCAGAGGGGGGUGGAAUUCCACGUGUAGCAGUGAAAUGCGUAGAAAUGUGGAGGAACACCGAUGGCGAAGGCAGCCCCCUGGGCUAACACUGACGCUCAUGCACGAAAGCGUGGGGAGCAAACAGG
This 253-nucleotide ribosomal RNA is filed under the name uncultured bacterium. Its description in RNAcentral is "partial 16S ribosomal RNA". It matches the Rfam family "Bacterial small subunit ribosomal RNA", at positions 524 to 776 of the family's 1533-position model. The record is from RNAcentral.